RNAcentral lists this small nuclear RNA (19 nucleotides) under Arabidopsis thaliana (thale cress). Its description in RNAcentral is "snRNA_13608". Lineage: Eukaryota; Viridiplantae; Streptophyta; Magnoliopsida; Brassicales; Brassicaceae. The record is from RNAcentral.
GCGGCUGGAAGAGCACCGC